Molecule: ribosomal RNA, 447 nt
Filed under: uncultured bacterium
Lineage: Bacteria
Description: bacterial SSU rRNA
Rfam family: Bacterial small subunit ribosomal RNA
Source: RNAcentral
CCAGACUCCUACGGGAGGCAGCAGUGGGGGAUAUUGCACAAUGGGGGAAACCCUGAUGCUGCGACGCCGCGUGAGUGAAGAAGUAUUUCGGUAUGUAAAGCUCUAUCAGCAGGGAAGAGAAUGACGGUACCUGAGUAAGAAGCCCCGGCUAACUACGUGCCAGCAGCCGCGGUAAUACGUAGGGGGCAAGCGUUAUCCGGAUUCACUGGGUGUAAAGGGAGCGUAGACGGCCAUGCAAGCCUGGAGUGAAAGCCCGGGGCCCAACCCCGGGACUGCUCUGGGAACUGUGCGGCUGGAGUGCGGGAGGGGCAGGCGGAAUUCCUGGUGUAGCGGUGAAAUGCGUAGAUAUCAGGAGGAACACCGGCGGCGAAGGCGGCCUGCUGGACCGCGACUGACGUUGAGGCCCGAAAGCGUGGGGAGCAAACAGGAUUAGAUACCCCCGUACCA